GCCCAGGUGGUGGAAUUGGUAGACACGCAAUCUUGAGGGGGUUGUAUCUUUACAGAUGUGCUGGUUCGAGUCCAGUUCUGGGCA
RNAcentral lists this transfer RNA (84 nucleotides) under Ichthyobacterium seriolicida. RNAcentral describes it as "tRNA-Leu". It matches the Rfam family "tRNA". Rfam says of the family: Transfer RNA (tRNA) molecules are approximately 80 nucleotides in length. The record is from RNAcentral. Lineage: Bacteria; Pseudomonadati; Bacteroidota; Flavobacteriia; Flavobacteriales; Ichthyobacteriaceae.